UGGGGAAUAUUGCACAAUGGGGGAAACCCUGAUGCAGCGACGCCGCGUGAGCGAUGAAGGCUUUCGAGUCGUAAAGCUCUGUCCUAUGGGAAGAUAAUGACGGUACCAUAGAAGAAAGCCCCGGCUAAUUACGUGCCAGCAGCCGCGGUAAUACGUAAGGGGCGAGCGUUGUCCGGAAUUAUUGGGCGUAAAGAGUGCGUAGGCGGCAAAUUAAGUCAGAUGUGAAAACUAAGGGCUCAACCCAUAGAUUGCAUCUGAAACUGAAAUGCUUGAGUCAAGGAGAGGAAAGUGGAAUUCCUAGUGUAGCGGUGGAAUGCGUAGAUAUUAGGAGGAAUACCGGUGGCGAAGGCGACUUUCUGGACUUGAACUGACGCUGAGGCACGAAAGCGUGGGGAGCAAACAGG
RNAcentral lists this ribosomal RNA (404 nucleotides) under Verrucomicrobiota bacterium. Its description in RNAcentral is "Verrucomicrobia bacterium partial 16S ribosomal RNA". It matches the Rfam family "Bacterial small subunit ribosomal RNA", at positions 355 to 776 of the family's 1533-position model. The record is from RNAcentral. Lineage: Bacteria; Pseudomonadati; Verrucomicrobiota.